GGCUUAGUGGUGGAUGGUCCACACCUGCUUCUAAUAUCUGAUUUGUAAUUGCCCAGCAGGUCCAGGGGAAGCCUAUUCGAAUCAGGCCUGAGCCA
Molecule: non-coding RNA, 95 nt
Organism: Mycena galericulata
Lineage: Eukaryota; Fungi; Basidiomycota; Agaricomycetes; Agaricales; Mycenaceae
Source: the annotation of a GenBank genome assembly